This is a long non-coding RNA of Salvator merianae (Argentine black and white tegu), 445 nucleotides long. Lineage: Eukaryota; Metazoa; Chordata; Lepidosauria; Squamata; Teiidae. The record is from Ensembl.
UUAACUCCCCUCUAAUUGGAUUUGUGGUUAUUUUCUAGAUACUUCUUAAGCCUGUUACUGGCAUUUCAAGAAAGCAAUGGGACAGCCCAGAAGGGGGAGUUCACCUAUUCCAUCCCAUCAGCUCUCCAGGAAUGUUUUACUGCCUUCGAUAACCANCAGCAACACAAAGCUUUAUGGGAAAGUCAAAAGUUCAUCUGUAUCAGCUCCAAGAGUCAGAGGAUGAUUGCCUGUCCUCUCAGCAUCAGAAACAGAAGAAAGACCGGAGGAAGGAAGUAUGUGGACACGUGGCACCAUCAUAGGGUCUCCUCUGCCACAACAUCACACUCGCCCUUGGCUCGAUGGCAACUACAAUGCACAGUCCAGCAGUGGAACAAUGGCAAGGAGUGGAGUGAGGAGCAGGCUGCUCUCAAUGUACCUCCAGGUCAGCACAGCAAAAUGUUCUACU